GUUCCCUAUGAUGCUUCAGAACCAUGCUAAUGCUGAUAAUUCCAUGAUUGAUUCUUUCUUCAUUCAUUUACUGAGGGAAACA
Molecule: small nucleolar RNA, 82 nt
Organism: Alnus glutinosa
Lineage: Eukaryota; Viridiplantae; Streptophyta; Magnoliopsida; Fagales; Betulaceae
Product: small nucleolar RNA snoR53Y
Exons: 1
Source: RefSeq, a predicted model, not a curated record